GAUGAACGCUGGCGGCGUGCCUAAUACAUGCAAGUCGAGCGAACAGAUAAGGAGCUUGCUCCUUUGACGUUAGCGGCGGACGGGUGAGUAACACGUGGGUAACCUACCUAUAAGACUGGGAUAACUUCGGGAAACCGGAGCUAAUACCGGAUAAUAUUUCGAACCGCAUGGUUCGAUAGUGAAAGAUGGUUUUGCUAUCACUUAUAGAUGGACCCGCGCCGUAUUAGCUAGUUGAUAAGGUAACGGCUUACCAAGGCGACGAUACGUAGCCGACCUGAGAGGGUGAUCGGCCACACUGGAACUGAGACACGGUCCAGACUCCUACGGGAGGCAGCAGUAGGGAAUCUUCCGCAAUGGGCGAAAGCCUGACGGAGCAACGCCGCGUGAGUGAUGAAGGUCUUCGGAUCGUAAAACUCUGUUAUUAGGGAAGAACAUACGUGUAAGUAACUGUGCACGUCUUGACGGUACCUAAUCAGAAAGCCACGGCUAACUACGUG
RNAcentral lists this ribosomal RNA (497 nucleotides) under uncultured bacterium. RNAcentral's name for it is "partial 16S ribosomal RNA". It matches the Rfam family "Bacterial small subunit ribosomal RNA", at positions 28 to 507 of the family's 1533-position model. The record is from RNAcentral.